Molecule: ribosomal RNA, 253 nt
Filed under: uncultured bacterium
Lineage: Bacteria
Description: partial 16S ribosomal RNA
Rfam family: Bacterial small subunit ribosomal RNA
Source: RNAcentral
UACGGGGGGAGCAAGCGUUGUUCGGAUUUACUGGGCGUAAAAGGCGCGUAGGCGGCGCAACAAGUCACUUGUGAAAUCUCCGGGCUUAACCCGGAGCGGUCAAGUGAUACUGUCGUGCUAGAGUGCGGAAGGGGCUACUGGAAUUCUCGGUGUAGCGGUGAAAUGCGUAGAUAUCGAGAGGAACACCAAUGGCGAAGGCAGCUCGCUGGGACGGUACUGACGCUGAGACGCGAAAGCGUGGGGAGCAAACAGG